GCCUUUGGCCAGACUGGACUGAUUGCACCCGAUCCCGUCCAAUCUUGGAAGCUAAGCAGUCCCAGACCCAGCUAAUAACCGGAUGGGAGGCCACCUGGCCUUUGGACGGAUGAGAAUA
This 118-nucleotide ribosomal RNA is filed under the name Alligator mississippiensis (American alligator). The record is from RNAcentral. Lineage: Eukaryota; Metazoa; Chordata; Crocodylia; Alligatoridae.